UGAGUAACACGUAUGCAAUCCACCUGUAACAGGGGGAUAACCCGGAGAAAUCCGGACUAAUACCCCAUAAUAUGGGCGCUCCGCAUGGAGAGUCCAUUAAAGAGAGCAAUCUUGUUACAGACGAGCAUGCGCUCCAUUAGCCAGUUGGCGGGGUAACGGCCCACCAAGGCGACGAUGGAUAGGGGUUCUGAGAGGAAGGUCCCCCACAUUGGAACUGAGACACGGUCCAA
RNAcentral lists this ribosomal RNA (230 nucleotides) under uncultured bacterium. RNAcentral describes it as "partial 16S ribosomal RNA". It matches the Rfam family "Bacterial small subunit ribosomal RNA", at positions 107 to 334 of the family's 1533-position model. The record is from RNAcentral.